CAUAAUGUGGUCUCCAUGGAAACAUCAAUUGAAAAACAACACCUUGAAUUGUUUAGUUUAUUAUAACUAAUGCUGACAUUACCCUCUGCUUUUACAACGAGAAAUCACCUAUUAAUGGGUCAGACAUUGGACACAAAAGCACUUUAGAAAAUCCAGAGCUGGUUUUUGAUCCCAGGUCAAGACUAUGCAGAACUCUGAUGUCUCUGAUCCUCCCAGGUUGGAUCUCUUUAACCUGUAAACCUCCACCUUCAACACCACCAGUCAGGAGGAGGCAGAUAAAGGAACCCAGUUGAAAAAAUAACUGAAACUAAACUCACAACUCCCUCUGGUGGUCUGGAGUAAUAACAAGUUAACAUGGACAGAAACUAAAUCAAUAUACUACAGUGGGAAUGCAUGACUGAGACAAAACGACAGCACUGGGCCAACCAGGAGAGAGAAGACACAUUAACAUUCAAU
This is a long non-coding RNA of Gambusia affinis (western mosquitofish), 456 nucleotides long. RefSeq lists it as uncharacterized. The transcript is spliced from 3 exons. Lineage: Eukaryota; Metazoa; Chordata; Actinopteri; Cyprinodontiformes; Poeciliidae. The record is from RefSeq and is a predicted model, not a curated record.